Molecule: ribosomal RNA, 494 nt
Filed under: uncultured bacterium
Lineage: Bacteria
Description: partial 16S ribosomal RNA
Rfam family: Bacterial small subunit ribosomal RNA
Source: RNAcentral
GACGAACGCUGGCGGCGUGCUUAACACAUGCAAGUCGAACGGUGAAGCGCCUUCCUUUUUGGUGGGUGUGGAUGAGUGGCGAACGGGUGAGUAACACGUGAGUAACCUGCCCCCUUCUUCUGGAUAACCGCAUGAAAGUGUGGCUAAUACGGGAUAUUCUGGGUCUGUCGCAUGAUGGGUCUGGGAAAGAUAUUGUUUCGGUGGGGGAUGGGCUCGCGGCCUAUCAGCUUGUUGGUGGGGUGAUGGCCUACCAAGGCGGUGACGGGUAGCCGGCCUGAGAGGGUGGACGGUCACAAGGGGACUGAGACACGGCCAAGACUCCUACGGGAGGCAGCAGUGGGGAAUAUUGCACAAUGGGCGCAAGCCUGAUGCAGCGACGCCGCGUGAGGGAUGGAGGCCUUCGGGUUGUGAACCUCUUUCGCCAGUGAAGCAGGCCUGCCUCGUUUGUGGGUGGGUUGACGGUAGCUGGAGAAGAAGCGCCGGCUAACUACGUG